RNAcentral lists this ribosomal RNA (398 nucleotides) under uncultured bacterium. RNAcentral describes it as "bacterial SSU rRNA". It matches the Rfam family "Bacterial small subunit ribosomal RNA", at positions 28 to 419 of the family's 1533-position model. The record is from RNAcentral.
GAUGAACGCUGGCGGCGUGCCUAAUACAUGCAAGUCGAGCGUCGAAAGGAGAAGGGGUAACCCUUCUCCCUGAAAGCGGCGAACGGGUGAGUAACACGUGGGCAACGUGCCCCAGACCCUGGGAUAACAACGGGAAACCGUUGCUAAUACCGGAUAACCCCUGCGCACCGCAUGGUGUGCUGGGCAAAGCUCCGGCGGUUUGGGAUCGGCCCGCGGCCUAUCAGCUUGUUGGUGGGGUAACGGCCACCAAGGCGAUGACGGGUAGCUGACGUGAGAGCGUGAUCAGCCACACUGGGACUGAGACACGGCCCAGACUCCUACGGGAGGCAGCAGUGGGGAAUAUUGGACAAUGGGGGAAACCCUGAUCCAGCGACGCCGCGUGGGUGAAGAAGGCCUGC